This 186-nucleotide long non-coding RNA is filed under the name Fukomys damarensis (Damara mole-rat). Its description in RNAcentral is "lncRNA (ENSFDAG00000022831.1)". Lineage: Eukaryota; Metazoa; Chordata; Mammalia; Rodentia; Bathyergidae. The record is from RNAcentral.
AGGAGAAUGUCUCAGGAACCUAGGACGCGCUCUCUUUUCCUGAUCCUUUUUCUGAGCCAUGGAGUGGCAGGUCAGAAAGCUUCAAAUUCCUGGCAGGAUUUGCAUCCAUUGUUGCAAAAAAUGGCGGUGAGUGUUCCAUUUACUUUUAAUCAAAAUUCCCUCCAUUGGAACUGCUGACUUUUGAAU